GAGAGAGAGACAUGCGCGCAUAUCAAUAAGCGGAGGAAAAGAAACUAACAAGGAUUCCCCUAGUAACGGCGAGUGAAGCGGGAAGAGCUCAAAUUUGAAAUCUUAAAGGGUUUCCCUUUACGAAUUGUAGUUUAAAGAAGUGUUUUCUGUUGAGGUUUUGGUAAAAGUUCUUUGGAAUAGGACAUCAUAGAGGGUGAGAAUCCCGUAUUUGACCUUUACUUUCAACUUUGUGAUACACUUUCAAAGAGUCGGAUUGUUUGGGAAUGCAGUCCAAAAUGGGUGGUAAAUUUCAUCUAAAGCUAAAUAUUGGCGAGAGACCGAUAGCGAACAAGUACCGUGAGGGAAAGAUGAAAAGAACUUUGAAAAGAGAGUUAAACAGUACGUGAAAUUGUCAAAAGGGAAGCGUUUGACACCAGUGUUGUUUUUCUGAAAAUCAAUUAAAGAACUGUUUAUGCUAAGUUGUUUAGACUUUAUCAGCUAUCUGUUUAGUUUUGAGCUUUUCUUUAAUGCACUUUUCAGUUAACAAGUCAACAUCAAUUUCUUUUGCUGUAAAAAAGCUUGAGGAAGGUGGCUUGAGAUUCGUCUUAAGUGUUUAUAGCCUCUUGCCUAUGCAGUCGGAGAGAUUGAGGUCUGCAGCGUAGAUCCUUCGGGGCUAAAUGCAUUUGUGCUAAGUUAUAGCAUUUUAUAGACAACUUGUUGACUAUGAUUUGUCUUGUAGCUUACUCGCUUAUGUUAUUUUACCUACGCUUAGGAUGUUGACGCAUGAGAUAUACGC
Molecule: ribosomal RNA, 775 nt
Filed under: uncultured Neocallimastigales
Lineage: Eukaryota; Fungi; Neocallimastigomycota; Neocallimastigomycetes; Neocallimastigales
Description: partial large subunit ribosomal RNA
Rfam family: Eukaryotic large subunit ribosomal RNA
Source: RNAcentral